GGGAUUGCCCUAGUAACGGCGAGUGAAGCGGCAACAGCUCAAAUUUGAAAUCUGGCGCAAGCCCGAGUUGUAAUUUGUAGAGGAUGCUUCUGGGUAGCGACCGGUCUAAGUUCCUUGGAACAGGACGUCAGAGAGGGUGAGAAUCCCGUAUGUGACCGGCCCGCACCCUGCACGUAGCUCCUUCGACGAGUCGAGUUGUUUGGGAAUGCAGCUCUAAAUGGGAGGUAAAUUUCUUCUAAAGCUAAAUACCGGCCAGAGACCGAUAGCGCACAAGUAGAGUGAUCGAAAGAUGAAAAGUACUUUGGAAAGAGAGUUAAACAGCACGUGAAAUUGUUGAAAGGGAAGCGCCUGCAAUCAGACUUCGCGGCAGUGUUCCGCCGGUCUUCUGACCGGUCUACUCUCUGUCGCGAGGCCAUCAUCGUCUCGGCCCGCUGGAUAAGACCUUGGGAAUGUAGCUCACCUUCGGGGGAGUGUUAUAGCUCUUGGUGAUGCAGCGAGGCUGGGGCGAGGUCCGCGCUUCGGCAAGGAUGAUGGCGUAAUGGUUGUCGGCGGCCCGUCUUGAAACACGGACCAAGGAGUCUAACAUCUAUGCGAGUGUUCGGGUGUCAAACCCCUACGCGUAAUGAAAGUGAACGGAGGUGGGACCCGCAAGGUGCACCAUCGACCGAUCCUGAUGUCCUCGGAUGGAUUUGAGUAAGAGCAUAGCUGUUGGGACCCGAAAGAUGGUGAACUAUGCCUGAAUAGGGUGAAGCCAGAGGAAACUCUGGUGGAGGCUCGCAGCGGUUCUGACGUGCAAAUCGAUCGUCAAAUUUGGGUAUAGGGGCG
Molecule: ribosomal RNA, 825 nt
Filed under: Sphaerulina cornicola
Lineage: Eukaryota; Fungi; Ascomycota; Dothideomycetes; Mycosphaerellales; Mycosphaerellaceae
Description: eukaryotic LSU rRNA
Rfam family: Eukaryotic large subunit ribosomal RNA
Source: RNAcentral